This 434-nucleotide ribosomal RNA is filed under the name Pelecyphorus regularis. Its description in RNAcentral is "eukaryotic LSU rRNA". The record is from RNAcentral. Lineage: Eukaryota; Metazoa; Arthropoda; Insecta; Coleoptera; Tenebrionidae.
CCGAAAGGUCGAAAGGGGAGAUUCAGCGUGUCUCGAUUACGGCGCUGGGCGGUCGUGCGACGGAAGACGUACGCGUCAUCCGCACCUUCCGUGCUCCGAACCGUAGUCGAACGCGUGCACUUCUCCCCCUGUAGGACGUCGCGAUCCGUUGGGUGCCGGUCUAAGGCCCGCAAUGGAGCCCGUUCGGACGGUUUACCGUUCCGGACGAACUUGCGGUGUUUCCCGGUCGGCUCGCUCGACGGUAUACAGAUGGCGCGGGGCCGCUACACAUUAGUUAGCGUCCGACCGGCGGCAAGCGCGCUCGUCGUGACGGUGAUCGGACCUGGUGCCGGUCCUGUCCCCGAGUGGCUGUUCGCUGCCGUGUUCUCGGACAGACCUCGUCGAAACGCCGAUCUGCGACGCUAUAGCUUUGGGUACUUUCAGGACCCGUCUUG